Molecule: long non-coding RNA, 3012 nt
Filed under: Canis lupus familiaris (dog)
Lineage: Eukaryota; Metazoa; Chordata; Mammalia; Carnivora; Canidae
Description: lncRNA (ENSCAFG00000053541.1)
Source: RNAcentral
AAAUGAAAGUCACCCAUAACCCUCUACCCAGAGAGGAAUAAAAAUUUUGUAUAUUUCCUUCUAGUCUUCUUAAUUAAUUUGUCAACAUAUUUAUUUACCUACUUACAAAGUAGGAUUGUAUUGUAUACACUGAUAGAAUCUUUUCUUUUCUUUUAAAGAUUUUAUUAGAGACACAGAAAGAGGCAGAGGGAGAAGCAGGCUCCCCACAGGGAGCCUGACACGGGACUCGAUCCCAGGACUCCAGGAUCACAACCUGAACCAAAGGCAGACGCUCAACCACUGAUCCACCCAGGCUCCCCUAGAAUCUUUUCUAAAAACUUUAUGGGGUGGACAAUUUCUCUCCAGUCUCAAAGAAUGGAUUUUAUCUACUACACAGCAAUACAUCAUAUGCCACGGUUUAUUUGAUCCCUUUUUCUACUCUUGGACAUUUCGGUUGCUUCCCACAUUGGGGGCUUUAUGAAUGUCUUUAAGGAAUGUCUUUUAAUAUUACCUUUAUAGGUCCUGGAACUAAACUCUGAGAUCUCAAAGAGACUGCAGUGUAGACCUAUAGAUUCAAGAAGAAAAAAAAAUACGCAGAAAACCAUUAUGACAAGUAACAUCAUCGUAGAGCAAAGAACUAGAAGGUGUCAGGGGAAAGUGAAACGAAUGUAAGUUGGUGGGAUCCGGUAAGGUUUCACUGAAAAAAACGAUAUUGCAUUUGGAACAGGGGCCAACAAAUCUUUUCCUCUAAGGAGCCAGAUAACAAAUAGUUUAGAUUUUGCACACCAGGUGGUCUCUGUUGUAACUACUCAAGGGUGUCACCACAGCACAAAACCAGACAAAGAUGAUUCAGAAAUGAAGGGGUGAGUUUAUGUUCCAAUAAAACUUUAUUUACAAAAAUAGGUAAUGGACUGAAGCAUUUGGUCCAUAGGCUGUCAUUUGCCAACCCUUGAUUUCGAACGCCAAAAACAGAGAUGGCUAUUGUGAGGGCCUUCUCAGAGGGAGGACAGUUCAGCUGGAAGGAAUUGAGAGAGCCAAAAUAUAGGAAGAAAAUUCAGGGGGUAAGGAGAGCUAGGUGUUUAAUGGUUGGGCAGGACAGGUGGGAGCUGGACUCAUACAGGGUCUGAAUGCCAGGCUGAAGUCUAUGGAUUUUGUUGUGUAGCAGAUAGAGAAUCCAUUUUCAUGGCAUCAUUGUAAAGUAUUGGGCACCCAUAAAGCUCCCAGGAUGGCAGCUGUCUCUGAGAAACUAUGGGACGGAUUCCAAACCUAGAAAUGCUGAUUUUGGCUUCAUCUCUAUUUGCUUUUCUGUUUUCUUGCUUACCUCCUUUAACCUUUCAGGAUUCGCCCCAUUUCAGCACAUCCAGAGGCCAGAAGGCACUCUGCUGGAAGAAACAGGAGUGGGACAGAAGAAGGGGAAGAAGUUCUUGGUUGGCUGCUUCUUCACUGGACUUUGAAUCUUAGUGCAUGUGAUGGAGCUCAAGGGAGAGCAGCUGGCCCCCCAGGUAUGUGAAGUCAGCUGACCUGCAGUCUGCAGUACAGACCUCCUUCUGGGUCUGCAUCUCACCAUCUGGACUGUCUACACAUCGAGCCUAUAUAUGGUCUUUGGUUCUUGCUCCUCCCACAACAAUCACCUUGUCUAAGACACAGGCUCUCAGGAGUAAUCUCACCAUGGGCAGCACCACAUCCCUUGGGAACUUAUUAGAAAUGCAAAGUCUCAGGCUCUACCUCGGACCUACUGAAUCAGAAACUCUGGGGGUGGGUGUGUGCGAACAAGCCAUCCGGGUUUUAACAAGCCCUCCAGGUGAUUGUGAUCCACAGGCUGAGAGUCACUGCCUUGGAUCCCUGUACCCCCAGAAGGGCCCCAUGUCAGGGGGCUAGGCAUGUGCUACUGAGCAUGAUAGGCAAUGCAAGCCUUCUAAUAAUCCUAAGAUGCCAUUACUAUUGCCUUUUGAAAGAUGCAAACACCGGGGUUCUGAUAUGUUAAGAAAUUUGAUCUGACCCUGGCUCUUAUUUCAAAGCCCGUGCUAUUGACCACCUUGGUCUAGUGUUCUCUCCUUGCAGAGAGGGCUAGGAGGUCUUCAGGAGAGCAUUUCUCCAAAGGCUGCCACAAUUUAUUUGCUUAAUAAACAUUCAUUGACCACCUCUCCUGCGCCAGAUCAUAUAGAGUAUAACAUAUACUGUGAAACACCAUUCUAACUUAAACCUUAGGAGUAGGCACCUUGCCUCAGCACUUACAGAGCUGGAAACACUGGUCUGGGAAGACAGUGUGACUUGUUUCAGAGCUACUGUAGCACCUCACAGAGGAUGCACUGCUGGCUCUAGUAAGCAGGGGGUGGCUUUAUAAAGGAGGGAGAAGCUACACCCAGAAAGUCCAUGGUGUGUACACGAGAGGGCAAAGUUGCUCAGGCCGAGUGAGCUGCAGUGUGGGAACCCGGGGCUCCAGCAGCUAUGGCCCCGUACUGACUGUGGGCCUCACACCCCCUUCCAAAACCUCCCAGGGUUCAGACCCAGAUAACAGAAGUAAUAGAAAGUGCCCUCUCCAGAGGCCCAACUUCUGAGCUCCACCUCUUCCACUGAAUUGGCUGUGCAGCCUUGAGCGAGUCACUUGCCCUUUUUGAGACUCUGUUUCCCCACUGGUAUAAGACUUAAGAAGUCGAUUUCAAACAAUUUUUAAGUUGCAAAUGUCUUUAUUUUUUUUAAAGAUUUUAUUCAUUUAUUCAUGAGAGACACAGAGAGAGGGGCAAAAACAUAGGCAGAGGGAGAAGCAGGCUCCCUGUGGGGAGCUGAUCCCAGGACCCUGGGAUCCCCACCUGAGCCAAAGGCAGACGCUCAAUCACUGAGCAACCCAGGCGCCCCACAAAUGUCUUUAUUUAAAUAAUAUCUUACACCAAACCCCAAUACAUGGAAUAUUUUUUAAAUAUAGUUGUUCUGGUUGAUUGUGGGAAGUGGGGGGAAGAGCUGGCCACCAUAAACCCCUCCCCCAAGCCCUGGCAGCACUUGUAGCUUACAGAGAAGUCACAGGAGCCCACCCAU